UACGUAGGGUGCGAGCGUUGUCCGGAAUUACUGGGCGUAAAGGGUGCGUAGGUGGUUUCUUAAGUCAGAGGUGAAAGGCUACGGCUCAACCGUAGUAAGCCUUUGAAACUGGGAAACUUGAGUGCAGGAGAGGAGAGUGGAAUUCCUAGUGUAGCGGUGAAAUGCGUAGAUAUUAGGAGGAACACCAGUUGCGAAGGCGGCUCUCUGGACUGUAACUGACACUGAGGCACGAAAGCGUGGGGAGCAAACAGGAUUAGAUACCCUGGUAGUCCCUGA
RNAcentral lists this ribosomal RNA (276 nucleotides) under uncultured prokaryote. RNAcentral's name for it is "partial 16S ribosomal RNA". It matches the Rfam family "Bacterial small subunit ribosomal RNA", at positions 524 to 800 of the family's 1533-position model. The record is from RNAcentral.